CCUACGGGAGGCUGCAGUGGGGAAUAUUGGACAAUGGGGGGAACCCUGAUCCAGCCAUGCCGCGUGUGUGAAGAAGGCCCGCGGGUUGUAAAGCACUUUCAGUGAGGAAGAACGCCUGGUGGUUAAUACCCAUCAGGAAAGACAUCACUCACAGAAGAAGCACCGGCUAACUCCGUGCCAGCAGCCGCGGUAAUACGGAGGGUGCGAGCGUUAAUCGGAAUUACUGGGCGUAAAGCGCGCGUAGGUGGCUUGAUAAGCCGGUUGUGAAAGCCCCGGGCUCAACCUGGGAACGGCAUCCGGAACUGUCAAGCUAGAGUGCAGGAGAGGAAGGUAGAAUUCCCGGUGUAGCGGUGAAAUGCGUAGAGAUCGGGCGGAAUACCAGUGGCGAAGGCGGCCUUCUGGACUGACACUGACACUGAGGUGCGAAAGCGUGGGUAGCAAACAGGAUUAGAUACCCUUGUAGUC
Molecule: ribosomal RNA, 465 nt
Filed under: Vreelandella stevensii
Lineage: Bacteria; Pseudomonadati; Pseudomonadota; Gammaproteobacteria; Oceanospirillales; Halomonadaceae
Description: partial 16S ribosomal RNA
Rfam family: Bacterial small subunit ribosomal RNA
Source: RNAcentral